ACGGGAGGCAGCAGUGGGGAAUAUUGCACAAUGGGGGAAACCCUGAUGCAGCGACGCCGCGUGAGCGAAGAAGUAUUUCGGUAUGUAAAGCUCUAUCAGCAGGGAAGAAAAUGACGGUACCUGACUAAGAAGCUCCGGCUAAAUACGUGCCAGCAGCCGCGGUAAUACGUAUGGAGCAAGCGUUAUCCGGAUUUACUGGGUGUAAAGGGAGCGUAGGCGGCAUGUUAAGUCUGAUGUGAAACUCCGGGGCUCAACCCCGGAACUGCAUUGGAAACUGGCAUGCUAGAGUGUCGGAGGGGUAAGCGGAAUUCCUAGUGUAGCGGUGAAAUGCGUAGAUAUUAGGAGGAACACCGGUGGCGAAGGCGGCUUACUGGACGAUAACUGACGCUGAGGCUCGAAAGCGUGGGGAGCAAACAGGAUUAGAUACCCUGGUA
RNAcentral lists this ribosomal RNA (434 nucleotides) under uncultured Lachnospiraceae bacterium. Its description in RNAcentral is "partial 16S ribosomal RNA". It matches the Rfam family "Bacterial small subunit ribosomal RNA", at positions 341 to 792 of the family's 1533-position model. The record is from RNAcentral. Lineage: Bacteria; Bacillati; Bacillota; Clostridia; Lachnospirales; Lachnospiraceae.